RNAcentral lists this ribosomal RNA (497 nucleotides) under uncultured bacterium. Its description in RNAcentral is "partial 16S ribosomal RNA". It matches the Rfam family "Bacterial small subunit ribosomal RNA", at positions 28 to 507 of the family's 1533-position model. The record is from RNAcentral.
GAUGAACGCUGGCGGCGUGCCUAAUACAUGCAAGUCGAGCGAACAGAUAAGGAGCUUGCUCCUUUGACGUUAGCGGCGGACGGGUGAGUAACACGUGGAUAACCUACCUAUAAGACUGGGAUAACUUCGGGAAACCGGAGCUAAUACCGGAUAACAUAUUGAACCGCAUGGUUCAAUAGUGAAAGGCGGCUUUGCUGUCACUUAUAGAUGGAUCCGCGCCGUAUUAGCUAGUUGGUAAGGUAACGGCUUACCAAGGCAACGAUACGUAGCCGACCUGAGAGGGUGAUCGGCAACACUGGAACUGAGACACGGUCCAGACUCCUACGGGAGGCAGCAGUAGGGAAUCUUCCGCAAUGGGCGAAAGCCUGACGGAGCAACGCCGCGUGAGUGAUGAAGGUCUUCGGAUCGUAAAACUCUGUUAUCAGGGAAGAACAAAUGUGUAAGUAACUGUGCACAUCUUGACGGUACCUGAUCAGAAAGCCACGGCUAACUACGUG